This 549-nucleotide ribosomal RNA is filed under the name uncultured bacterium. RNAcentral describes it as "partial 16S ribosomal RNA". It matches the Rfam family "Bacterial small subunit ribosomal RNA", at positions 355 to 894 of the family's 1533-position model. The record is from RNAcentral.
UAGGGAAUCUUCCACAAUGGACGCAAGUCUGAUGGAGCAACGCCGCGUGAGUGAAGAAGGUUUUCGGACCGUAAAGCUCUGUUGUUGGUGAAGAAGGAUAGAGGUAGUAACUGGCCUUUAUUUGACGGUAAUCAACCAGAAAGUCACGGCUAACUACGUGCCAGCAACCGCGGUAAUACGUAGGUGGCAAGCGUUGUCCGGAUUUAUUGGGCGUAAAGCGAGCGCAGGCGGAAGAAUAAGUCUGAUGUGAAAGCCCUCGGCUUAACCGAGGAAUUGCAUCGGAAACUGUUUUUCUUGAGUGCAGAAGAGGAGAGUAGAACUCCAUGUGUAGCGGUGGAAUGCGUAGAUAUAUGGAAGAAUACCAGUGGCGAAGGCGGCUCUCUGGUCUGCAACUGACGCUGAGGCUCGAAAGCAUGGGUAGCGAACAGGAUUAGAUACCCUGGUAGUCCAUGCCGUAAACGAUGAGUGCUAAGUGUUGGGAGGCUUCCGCCUCUCAGUGCUGCAGCUAACGCAUUAAGCACUCCGCCUGGGGGAGUACGACCGCAAGGU